GACAACGAUGGAUAGGGGUUCUGAGAGGAAGGUCCCCCACAUUGGAACUGAGACACGGUCCAAACUCCUACGGGAGGCAGCAGUGAGGAAUAUUGGUCAAUGGACGAGAGUCUGAACCAGCCAAGUAGCGUGAAGGAUGACUGCCCUAUGGGUUGUAAACUUCUUUUAUAUGGGAAUAAAAUGUUCCACGUGUGGGAUUUUGUAUGUACCAUAUGAAUAAGGAUCGGCUAACUCCGUGCCAGCAGCCGCGGUAAUACGGAGGAUCCGAGCGUUAUCCGGAUUUAUUGGGUUUAAAGGGAGCGUAGGUGGAUUGUUAAGUCAGUUGUGAAAGUUUGCGGCUCAACCGUAAAAUUGCAGUUGAAACUGGCAGUCUUGAGUACAGUAGAGGUGGGCGGAAUUCGUGGUGUAGCGGUGAAAUGCUUAGAUAUCACGAAGAACUCCGAUUGCGAAGGCAGCUCACUGGACUGCAACUGACACUGAGGCUCGAAAGUGUGGGUAUCAAACAGGAUUAGAUACCCUGGUAGUCCACACAGUAAACGAUGAAUACUCGCUGUUUGCGAUAUACGGCAA
This 570-nucleotide ribosomal RNA is filed under the name uncultured bacterium. Its description in RNAcentral is "bacterial SSU rRNA". It matches the Rfam family "Bacterial small subunit ribosomal RNA", at positions 272 to 842 of the family's 1533-position model. The record is from RNAcentral.